RNAcentral lists this unclassified non-coding RNA (135 nucleotides) under soil metagenome. RNAcentral's name for it is "partial contains small subunit ribosomal RNA, internal transcribed spacer 1, and 5.8S ribosomal RNA". The record is from RNAcentral.
UCUCCGUAGGUGAACCUGCGGAGGGAUCAGUAGAGAAAUCGUCCCUGACGACCGUGGAUCGUGGGAAUUAAAUGCAAUCGCAAGCAGUCUGAAUAAUUUUAUACAAAACUUUCAACAACGGAUCUCUUGGCUCUU